This is a long non-coding RNA of Lathyrus oleraceus (garden pea), 652 nucleotides long. RefSeq lists it as uncharacterized. The record is from RefSeq and is a predicted model, not a curated record. Lineage: Eukaryota; Viridiplantae; Streptophyta; Magnoliopsida; Fabales; Fabaceae. The transcript is spliced from 2 exons.
GUGGUGACUUGUACACAUAAGGAGGUGGUGGUGAUGGAGAUGGAGGAGGUGGUGACUUGUACACAUAUGAUGGAGCCUUGUGCUCAUAUGGUGGUGGUGGUGGUGACUUGUAAAUGUAUGGAGGAGGUGGUGAUGGGGAUGGUGGAGGUGGUGACUUGUAUACAUAAGGAGGUGGUGGUGAUGGGGAUGGUGGAGGUGGUGACUUGUAUACAUAAGGAGGUGGUGGUGAAGGAGAUGGAGGCGGUGGUGAUUUGUACACAUAAGAUGGAGCCUUGUGUUCAUAUGGUGGAGGAGGGGGUGACUUGUACACAUAUGGUGGUGGUGGUGAAGGUGAGGGUGGUGGAGGUGACUUGUACUCAUAAGGUGGUGGAGGUGAAGAGUAAAUAUAACUAUCUGCAGCAGCAGAAACUACAGUAGUGGAAAUCAAAACAAUGGCCAAUGCCAUUGCCAUUGGAGGCCAGUUAUGACCCCUUUUGGGGCUACUGGCCAUAGCAGUCAUGAGUUGAAAGAAAAAACUUGCUAACUCCAAUUCUUAUGUUUUUAGAUAUCCCCACAAAUAUUCUUAGAAGAAGAAGAGGAAAAGAUAGAAAGAAAGAUGUUUUGGUGUUAGUGAUUACUGUGAAAAGCUGAAUGAAAGACCAAGUAUUUAUAA